CGAGCGGUACAGGGGGUGCUUGCACUCCGCUGACGAGCGGCGGACGGGUGAGUAAUGCAUAGGAAACUGCCCAGUAGUGGGGGAUAGCCCGGGGAAACCCGGAUUAAUACCGCGUACGCCCUUCGGGGGAAAGCAGGGGAUCUUCGGACCUUGCGCUAUUGGAUGUGCCUAUGUCGGAUUAGCUAGUUGGUGGGGUAAAGGCCUACCAAGGCGACGAUCCGUAGCUGGUCUGAGAGGAUGAUCAGCCACAUCGGGACUGAGACACGGCCCGAACUCCUACGGGAGGCAGCAGUGGGGAAUAUUGGACAAUGGGGGCAACCCUGAUCCAGCCAUGCCGCGUGUGUGAAGAAGGCUUUCGGGUUGUAAAGCACUUUCAGUGAGGAGGAAAAGUUGGUCGUUAAUACCGGCCAGCCUUGACGUUACUCACAGAAGAAGCACCGGCUAACUCCGUGCCAGCAGCCGCGGUAAUACGGAGGGUGCAAGCGUUAAUCGGAAUUACUGGGCGUAAAGCGCGCGUAGGUGGUUUGAUAAGCGAGAUGUGAAAGCCCCGGGCUUAACCUGGGAACGGCAUUUCGAACUGUCAGGCUAGAGUAUGGUAGAGGAGUGUGGAAUUUCCUGUGUAGCGGUGAAAUGCGUAGAUAUAGGAAGGAACAGCCAGUGGCGAAGGCGGCACUCUGGACCGAAUACUGACACUGACGUGCGAAAGCGUGGGG
This 713-nucleotide ribosomal RNA is filed under the name Marinobacter salsuginis. RNAcentral describes it as "bacterial SSU rRNA". It matches the Rfam family "Bacterial small subunit ribosomal RNA", at positions 63 to 766 of the family's 1533-position model. The record is from RNAcentral. Lineage: Bacteria; Pseudomonadati; Pseudomonadota; Gammaproteobacteria; Pseudomonadales; Marinobacteraceae.